Molecule: ribosomal RNA, 266 nt
Filed under: uncultured bacterium
Lineage: Bacteria
Description: partial 16S ribosomal RNA
Rfam family: Bacterial small subunit ribosomal RNA
Source: RNAcentral
GUCCACGCCGUAAACGAUGAGUGCUAGUCGUCGCGGGUAUUGACCCCUGCGGCAACGAAGUUAACGCAUUAAGCACUCCGCCUGGGGAGUACGGCCGCAAGGCUAAAACUCAAAGGAAUUGACGGGGGCCCCGCACAAGCGGUGGAGCAUGUGGUUCAAUUCGACGCAACGCGCAGAACCUUACCUGGGUUAAAUCCACCGGAACCCUUCAGAGAUGAGGGGGUGCCCGCAAGGGAGCCGGUGAGAAGGUGCUGCAUGGCUGUCGU